Sceloporus undulatus (fence lizard) is the source of this 1675-nucleotide RNA transcript. It is a transcript of the gene named zinc finger CCHC domain-containing protein 10-like, with no coding region annotated. The transcript is spliced from 3 exons. NCBI's taxonomy places the organism in Eukaryota, Metazoa, Chordata, Lepidosauria, Squamata, Phrynosomatidae. The record is from RefSeq and is a predicted model, not a curated record.
UCAGAGCUGAGCUGAAGAUCCUGGACGGACUUUCCCAGGCCUUGUGAUGGCUCGGUGCCUGGGCCUGUAGGGAUUUAGCCACCGACACUUGUGGCCUUGGGCCCAGCCUGAGCAUCAUGGCUGCCAUUUUGGCACUUCCACAGCAAUUUUCAUUGUCGUGCUCACCCCCUGCAGAAGCUUUGGCUGCUGGUCUUCUGCACUAAGUUAGUCCUUUUGUCACCAGGGGUUGUGGGCUAAAAAAAAAUUCUUUAUUUUCUGGCUGAGUGAUCUUUCCUGGGCUUGUGAUUCUGCUGGGCUUUUCCUAGGCUUCUGCCUGGCCACUGGAUUGUCAAUUUUGUUUUGGUCCAUGUGAGUCACACUGUCUCAGCCUCUUUGUUUGGACUAUCUUUAAUUUUCUUAGCUGUGAGCUGUUAAACAAUGUAGCCUUUGACCAAGCCUCUUCUACUAUCCAUUCCCUGGCUGUGCCUUUUUCCAGCAUGCCUCCCAAACCUCCUUUCGAGAAGGCUUCAACUUCCUGCUCAGCCACCAGGGGCCAGGCUGGUCUCCCCCAAAGAUCUUGGACCGAUCUUGCACCAGGGUCCAGAGGCCAGCAUUCCCUAGAUGUCCCCCACGAUGCUACUCCACCUCAGGCUGCUCCGUUGCUGAGUGAGGCUGCUGCCACUGAUCUAUCACAAUCCAUUUCUGAAUUAACUGCCAAAGCUACGUUGUCUAGCCAGACACGUGAUUCAGUUCAUGAUUCCCCUACAGCCAGGGUUCAUUCCCUGAGGGCUCCAUUGUUCACCAGCUCCAGUUCCAGCAGCUCCAGUUCCACCUCAUCAUCUUCCAGCUUGGAUGAAGACAUCCCUGGUAACAGCUCUGGUGCAGCUUCAAAACACAAGAGUCGGAAGCAAAAGCGCAAAUCUAAGAAAAAGAUGCAAAAGGUUUGCUCUCGGUGAUCUGCCGAUCUAGCUGUUGUGAGUGAUGCGUGUCCCAAUGUACCCGUGGGCAGGGAUAGCUUCUGGGUUAAUCGUGCUCUUGUCCCUGGCUUGCCCCGGUGGGCUAUUAAGCGUCGCUCCUGGCGCCCUGGUCUGCAAGGGUUGACCCUCAAGCUGGUGAUAUCCCUGUUUGUGCCCCAGGUGAAUGCCCCCCCUCCCCCUGUUCUCAUCUUCCAAAAAAGGUCCAAAAGCUCAUCUUAAGGGCUGGCAACGGCUCCUUGUUCAUCCACAUUAAUUGAUCCCCGUUGAUGUGAUUCCAGUUUGGGUCUGUGCUGUGUAUGGCCGUAGGUCAUUUGGGACUUCAUCCAGAAGAUUUUGGGGCCAUUCUGUCUGUAUUGGCGCAGAAACUUCAGCGGCACAGUGUGGACUGCCUGAGCAUUCCAUCAAGAAACUGGAGGCAAACCUACAGAAUGUCCUUAAAAAGGAGGAGGGGACGGAAAGAGAAACAAAGAAUCUUGGAUUUCCAUACCACAUGGCCAGAAGGAGAAGGGGCCUGCCUGCAUGAAUGUCCUUCCAUACCACUUGAACUGAGAACAGUUACAUCUCGACCAAAUGCAGGGUUGUAACUAACAUCGUCAAUUUUUUUUUCUCAUUCAGUGUGAUUUUUAAUACCUUUGCCUGGUGAAGAAACCAGUGGCGCUCCAAAAGUUUGCAACAUGUAUUUUGUGCAUUUUGGUUAAUAAAGAUGUAAUUGUUUUGUG